UCACCAAAUCCCCAAAUUGAAAAGGAAGAACCCUAGAUUCCCAAAAUUGGAAAAGACGGCACAUACUCCGGUCACCGCCGGCGCCUCUCCACUCUCCUCUCCUUACUGUGGUCUCGCCGCUGCUGCCUUCGCUGGUGUGCGAACUCGAGGGAGUCAGCUUACACUUCUCCGUCCAGCCCUCUCAACUCCGCAACGCACCACCAUCGCCGCCCUUGGCUUUGCACCACUCCCGUCCCUGUCGCCUUCUCUUCGCGGCGGUAGGAAACUCGUGGGCGAGCAGCAUCGCUGUAUACGCCGCCUCCGUGAGCCACGCCGCUUCGUCGGGAGGUAUACAUAGAGUAAUGCAGGGGCUGUUGGGGUGUGGAAGGGAGUGCAGAGCAGAGUUUGCUCAUUUAGAAAGGCAAAGGUUAUCCAUUUGUGAGGAAUACAGCUGCUGCUCAGUGAGAGGAGAGCUGAUUUCUUUUGCAAGAAGUGCACCUAGAAGUGGGCUGUAACUUAGUUGCUAUGCCAUAUGUAUGCAACAUUAAAUUCUAUGUAUUUUUACCUCCUGGUUUAGUAGAUGUAGACAUAUUCAUUCUUUCAUUUGUAAAAGUUCCAAGGCCUCGGUUCAUUGGCGUACCCAUGUAAAAAUCCAUGACAUUCCAUCUCAUACAAUUUCAAUAACUAUAUAUUCUCCUUUGCAUCG
Long non-coding RNA from Salvia hispanica, 685 nucleotides. RefSeq lists it as uncharacterized. Lineage: Eukaryota; Viridiplantae; Streptophyta; Magnoliopsida; Lamiales; Lamiaceae. The record is from RefSeq and is a predicted model, not a curated record.